This is a long non-coding RNA of Orcinus orca (killer whale), 2835 nucleotides long. RefSeq lists it as uncharacterized. The record is from RefSeq and is a predicted model, not a curated record. The transcript is spliced from 4 exons. Lineage: Eukaryota; Metazoa; Chordata; Mammalia; Artiodactyla; Delphinidae.
GAAUUGUCAGCUCAUAUAUUUGAGGUUGAUAUUUGAGGUUGGUACUAUUUUCCAUUUUAUUUUGCAUUUUUUUCCCUUUAAAAUGUACUUGGAAACCUUCAGUUUCCUGUCCUAAUACUGCUGACUAAAUUAUUCUUUGUUUCCCCUGUGCUAAAAGGAAGCUUACAUGGGAGAACAUGGAACAGGAGCAAUCCAGGUUAAUAUGGUGGAAUUUGCCCCUACUUUAUUGCAAGUGGCAAAAGUUACUCAGGGAUUGCCCUGACCUGAAGCAUCCCUGGCCAUCCAGGCCCUCCACUAGAAGCUGAGCCUCAGGUCCCUUGAGCAUCAGAGGCUUGGAGAAAAGACCCUCAGUGGCCGUCUCAUCCCUCCCCAUAGUGCACAGAUGCGGGAACUGAAGUCCAGGGAGCCCCUGUAAAGAGGAGUCGUUUCUGGAUCUGGGAAGAGGGUUCAUCAUCCCCCACCUGCCUUGGAAGAAUAUAGUUCCCACAUUUGAGGCUAUUCUCUCCUCCUCAGGAGGCUCAGUGACAAAGUCGCCAACACUCCUCUCUGUGCUCGCAGCUUGGGGACUGCCCCUUGCAGGCUCCAAGCAGCUCAGGGGUCACGCCAUGCCCCACCCACACCCCCAGCUUCAACCAGGACCAGGCUGCGAAGGGGGGAUGCCAGGGGCAGCGGACACCUCUCAGAUGCCUGGGGGAUGCGAGCGGGCCCCUGACUGCAGAGAGAGCAGGACUGGAGCCAGAAGCACGGUGCCCUGGGCGGCAGGAGGGGCUCCCAUUUCCCUGGAAUCUCUGCGUCUGCCUCCUCGGGCACAGUAGGGCCUGACUUGCUGAACUGAAGCAGGAAGAGAAGGGAAGGGCUGGGAGAAGUACCCUUCGUGAUGUUCCGUCUCCUCACCUUACCUGCCUCGCCUCACCUCACCUCGGAUGUGCCUAUCAGCAGCGUGGCUUUGCCAGAUGGAUUGAAGGGCAGCCAGGAAUGGCUCCUCAUUGCCUCUGACCUGGGCCCUUCCCUUCCACAGUCACAGAGGAGGGGGCCCACCUUGGCCUAGCCUCCAGGAAUCAAAGCCCUUCACCACUAUUCUUGGACGUACCUGGAAUUCGGGUCGAUACCAAGUGGUGGGCUGAGUUUUCCUCUCUUUGCCUCUCCGGGCUGAGGCAUUAGCUUGUGACUCCUAAAGGGCGGAAAACUCAGUGAUAGAAUAACUUCCAGCCUUCUGUUGUAGAGUACUCUCCAGUUCACACAGCGCCUCCGUACUUCUGAUUUCAUUCAGUUGCUACAGCAAGUCGGCAAGAUGCCUACCAUAAGCAUUGUCUCCACUUUACAGCUGAGAAAAUCAAGGCUCAAAGAGAAUAUCCAUCUUCUGUUCUUGCUGUGAGAAAUCAACACAAACUGAGCAGCUUAAUAACACACAAACGCAUCAUCUCACCAUUCUGUAGGUCAGCAGUGCGGGCACAGCGCGGCUCAGCUGGUCCUCUGCUUUGGGUUUCGCGACAUCGAAAUCAAGGUGUCGGCAGGGCUGUGUUCCUUUCUGGAGGUCUGAAGAUGAAUCUGCGUCCAAGCUCAUGCAGGUUGUUGGCAGAUUGAAUUCCAUGCAGUGUAGGAUGAGGUACCAGUUGGCUGUCAGCGGGGAGCCCUUCUCAGCUUCUAGAGACUGCCUGCACUCCUCAGCUUGCAGCUCCCUUCCGCCAUCUUCAAAGCCAGUGGUGGUUGAGUUCCUUUCAUGUUUUGAGUCUCUCAGAGCUCCUCUUGUGACUAAUCUCUCUUCUGCCUUGAGCCAGAGAAAGCUCUCUGCUGUUGAGGGCCCAUGUGACUAGAAUGGGCCCACAGGGAUAAUCCAGGACAAUCUCCCCAUCUCUACGUCUGGAAACCUCAUCACACAAUCUCCCCAUCUCUAGGUCUGGAAACUUCAUCACAUCUGCAAAGUCACCUUUGCCAUGGCCAUGUAAUGUACGACCUUCACAGUUCUGAAGAUCAUGGCACGGGCAUCCUUGGGGACCAUUAUUCUGCCUCCCACAGAGAGGUUUUGAAACCUAUCACUCAGCUAGGAAGUGGCAGAGGUAGAACCUGAACCCACAUCUCCCAGCUGCACAAUGUGUACUCUUUCCACCACAUCUCAGCUGCCUCAGGAACUUCCGGGUCAUCAUUUAAUUCAUCCCAUUUCUUUCUGGUAAACCAGAGGCUGGGGGAGAGAUUUCAUCCUUGCAUAACAGAGCCUGGGGAGAAAUGUGGGAAGCUGAUGAAGGUGGACCCUGGCCUCGGGCCAGCUCAGUGGGAUAAGGGGGUGUGGGUUCCUGGGCCUGUGUAGACUAGGCUGGUGAGGCCCAUCUGGGGACCCUGGCAGCAAUGGGUUAUCGCAAGAAGACCGGAUGGGGAGGAAAGAGAUGGGGACUCUCCAGGGUCCCACAGGCUGACUGAGCCACACAAAUGGCCAACAUCCAAGUCAGGAGGUGGGAACAGCCCGCUCCCAAGUCAGAGACUCAGCAACGGUCAAGCUCUGGAAACCAGUCAGAACCUCUAGCUUUCUCUGUGUGAAUUACCCAGCAGCAAAACCAGGCAAAACUGGAGUGGUCUCGUUGGGCCUGUGAGGGAGACCCUGGGAAGUUUGUGUAGAGCCAGAGCCAGACAAUGGAAAUGGCGUGGUGCCUGUCAUGUGAAACAAAGGAUAUGGCAAUGUUAUUGGUGUUCCUUUGUGCAGGGUGCUGUCUUGAUUUUGUUAAUAAACAAAAACAUACUGUAAUAGGGGCUUUCAUAGUCUUAAUUCCAACUUGAUGUCCUUUGCCUCCAAGUGCCCUUCCCCAUGAGUUUAGUCCACAUCCAAGGAAAUCUGCUUCCUUG